GACGAACGCUGGCGGCGUGCUUAACACAUGCAAGUCGAACGAAGCGCGCUGGAAGCUUGCUUCUCUCAAUCUUAGUGGCGAACGGGUGAGUAACGCGUACUCAACCUGCCCUUCAGAGGGGGACAACAGUUGGAAACGACUGCUAAUCCCGCAUACGAUCCAAUCUCGGCAUCGGGACUGGAUGAAAGGUGGCCUCUAUUUAUAAGCUAUCACUGAAGGAGGGGAUUGCGUCUGAUUAGCUAGAUGGAGGGGUAACGGCCCACCAAGGCGAUGAUCAGUAGCCGGUCUGAGAGGAUGAGCGGCCACAUUGGGACGGGGACACGACCCAGACUCCUACGGGAGGCAGCAGUGGGGAAUCUUCCGCAAUGGACGAAAGUCUGACGGAGCAACGCCGCGUGAGUGAUGACGGCCUUCGGGUUGUAAAGCUCUGGUAAUCGGGACGAAUGGUUCUUGUGCGAAUAGUGCGAGGAUUUGACGGUACCGGAAUAGAAAGCCACGGCUAACUACGUG
RNAcentral lists this ribosomal RNA (510 nucleotides) under uncultured bacterium. Its description in RNAcentral is "partial 16S ribosomal RNA". It matches the Rfam family "Bacterial small subunit ribosomal RNA", at positions 28 to 507 of the family's 1533-position model. The record is from RNAcentral.